RNAcentral lists this ribosomal RNA (525 nucleotides) under uncultured bacterium. RNAcentral describes it as "bacterial SSU rRNA". It matches the Rfam family "Bacterial small subunit ribosomal RNA", at positions 777 to 1304 of the family's 1533-position model. The record is from RNAcentral.
AAUAGAUACCCUGGUAGUCCACGCUGUAAACGAUGAGGACUAAAUGUUGGUAGGGGAACCUAUCGGUAUUGAAGCUAACGCGAUAAGUCUUCCGCCUGGGAAGUACGGCCGCAAGGUUGAAACUCAAAUGAAUUGACGGGGGCCCGCACAAGCGGUGGAGCAUGUGGUUUAAUUCGAUGCAACGCGAAGAACCUUACCUACCCUUGACAUCCUGCGAAUCCCGAUGAGAGUUGGGAGUGCCGCAAGGAGCGCAGAGACAGGUGCUGCAUGGCUGUCGUCAGCUCGUGUUGUGAGAUGUUGGGUUAAGUCCCGUAACGAGCGCAACCCUUGUCCUUAGUUGCCAGCAUUAAGUUGGGGACUCUAAGGAGACUGCCGGUGAGGAACCGGAGGAAGGCGGGGACGACGUCAAGUCAUCAUGGCCUUUAUGGGUAGGGCUACACACGUGCUACAAUGGGGCGUACAGAGGGUCGCGAACCCGCGAGGGGGAGCCAAUCUCAUAAAGCGUCUCGUAGUCCGGAUUGGAGU